UACAGAGGGUGCGAGCGUUGUCCGGAAUCACUGGGCGUAAAGGGCGCGUAGGUGGUGGCUUAAGCGUGCGGUGAAAGCUCGGAGCUCAACUCCGAGUCGGCCGUGCGAACUGGGCUCACUGGAGCAUAGUAGAGGCAGGUGGAAUUCCGGGCGUAGCGGUGGAAUGCGUAGAGAUCCGGAAGAACACCGGUGGCGAAGGCGGCCUGCUGGGCUAUGGCUGACACUGAGGCGCGACAGCGUGGGGAGCAAACAGG
Molecule: ribosomal RNA, 254 nt
Filed under: uncultured bacterium
Lineage: Bacteria
Description: partial 16S ribosomal RNA
Rfam family: Bacterial small subunit ribosomal RNA
Source: RNAcentral